This 263-nucleotide ribosomal RNA is filed under the name uncultured bacterium. RNAcentral describes it as "partial 16S ribosomal RNA". It matches the Rfam family "Bacterial small subunit ribosomal RNA", at positions 793 to 1055 of the family's 1533-position model. The record is from RNAcentral.
GUCCACGCCGUAAAACGAUGUCGACUUGGAGGUUGUUCCCUUGAGGAGUGGCUUCCGGAGCUAACGCGUUAAGUCGACCGCCUGGGGAGUACGGCCGCAAGGUUGAAACUCAAAGGAAUUGACGGGGGCCCGCACAAGCAGUGGAGUAUGUGGUUUAAUUCGAAGCAACGCGAAGAACCUUACCAGGUCUUGACAUCCGAUGCAUAGCACAGAGAUGUGUGAAAUCCUUCGGGACAUCGAGACAGGUGGUGCAUGGUUGUCGU